RNAcentral lists this ribosomal RNA (301 nucleotides) under uncultured bacterium. RNAcentral describes it as "partial 16S ribosomal RNA". It matches the Rfam family "Bacterial small subunit ribosomal RNA", at positions 509 to 807 of the family's 1533-position model. The record is from RNAcentral.
CAGUAGCCACGGGAAUACGGAGGAUCCGAGCGUUAUCCGGAAUUAUUGGGUUUAAAGGGUGCGUAGGCGGACAGAUAAGUCAGUGGUGAAAGACGGUGGCUCAACCAUCGCAGUGCCGUUGAUACUGUUUGUCUUGAAUAUGGAUGAGGUAGGCGGAAUGUGGCAAGUAGCGGUGAAAUGCAUAGAUAUGCCACAGAACACCGAUUGCGAAGGCAGCUUACCAAGGCAAUAUUGACGCUGAGGCACGAAAGCGUGGGGAUCGAACAGGAUUAGAUACCCCUGUAGUCCCUGUCUCUUAUAC